Molecule: long non-coding RNA, 5875 nt
Filed under: Homo sapiens (human)
Lineage: Eukaryota; Metazoa; Chordata; Mammalia; Primates; Hominidae
Description: non-protein coding lnc-CDKL3-2:10
Source: RNAcentral
AGAACGGGUCACGUGAGCGCCUCGCCUGGAUGUGAGUUUCAGCCAGACCUGUGGAUAUCUGGGCUUUGGGCUGUAUGAUCAUUGAGAUGGCCACUGGAAAUCCCUAUCUUCCUAGUAGUUCUGAUUUGGAUUUACUCCAUAAAAUUGUUUUGAAAGUGGGCAAUUUGUCACCUCACUUGCAGAAUAUCUUUUCCAAGAGCCCCAUUUUUGCUGGGGUAGUUCUUCCUCAAGUUCAACACCCCAAAAAUGCAAGAAAAAAAUAUCCAAAGCUUAAUGGAUUGUUGGCAGAUAUAGUUCAUGUAUGUUUUUUUUUUUUUUCCUCCCCCGGAGACAGAGUCUUGCUCUGUCGCCCAGGCUGUAGUGCAGUGGAGUGAUCUCGGCUCACUGCAACCUCUGACUCCCAGGUCAUGAGAUUCUCCUGCCUCAGCCUUCCGAGUAGUUGGGAUUACAGGCACCUGCCACCAUGCCCGGCUAAUUUUUGUAUUUUCAGUAGAGACGGGGUUUCACCGUGUUGGCUGUGGUUGGCCAGGCUGCUCUUGAACUCCUGAGCUUAGGUGAUCCGCCCACCUCGGCCUCCCAAAGUGCUGGGAUUACAGGCAUGAGUCACCGCACCCAGGCAGUUCAUGUAUGUUGAGAAAUUAAGAAUUUAUAUCUGAGAAAUUUGCAUAAAUUAUAAUACAGUUUUUAAUUAUCACUUUAAUGAAAUUCCAAAAGGAUUCCUAAAGUAAUGUAAACUGUAGAAAAUUAUGUCUUUAGUACAGAGAAAUUAAAAUUCAUAGACUGUCAGAGCUGAAUGCCCCCUAAGAUAAUUAUGUUCAUUAUAUUUAAUUUAUCUCUAUUUUAAUGAUAAUUAGGUAUAAACUGGAGAAAUGGGCCAGGCAGGGUGGCUUAUGUGUGUAAUCCCAGCACUUUGGGACGCCGAGACGGGCUGAUCACGAGGUUUCUCCAUGUCGGUCAGGCUGGUCUCGAAGUCCUGACCUCAGGUGAUCCUCCCACCUUGGCCUCCCAAAGUGCUGGGAUUACAGGCGUGACCCACCGUGCCUGGCCUUUAUUUGUUUUUGUUCUGUUUUGUUUUUGUAAACAGGGUCUCACUCUUUCACCCAGGUCAGAAUGCAGUGGUGUCACCUCGGCUCACUGCAGUUCCGACUUCCUGAGCUCAGCUGAUCCUCCCAACUCAGCCUCCCGAGUAGCCUGGAUGCCCAGAUAAUUUUUGUAUUUUUUGUAGAGAUGGAGUUUCUCCAUGUUGCCCAGGCUGGUCUCAAACUCCUGGGCACAAACUAUUAACUUGCCUCAGUCUCCCAAAGUGUUGGGAUUACACACAUGUGCCACAGUGCCAGUUCCUGUUUAAAAAAAUUAAUUAUUUUUUACAGUCUCAUCCUGUUGCCCAGGCUGGAGUGCAAUGGUGUGAUCGUUGCUCACUGCAACCUCGAACUCCUAUCCUCUAGUGAUCCUUCCUCCUUGGCCUCUGAAAGUAUUGGGAUCACAGGCAUAAGCAACUGUGCCUGGUCAAAAUUUAAAUUUUAUUUAAAAUGGCUAGGUGCAGUGGCUCGUGCCUAUAAUCCCAGUACUUUGGGAGGCUGAGGCGGGUGGAUCACCUGAGGUGGGUGGAUCACCUGAGGUCAGGAGUUCAAGACGAGCCAGACCAACAUGAUGAAACCCUGUCUCUACUAAAAAUACAAAAAUUAGCCGGGCGUGGUGGCGUGCACCUGUAGUCCCAGCUACUUGGGAGGCUGAGACAGGAGAAUCACUUGAACCUGGGAGGCAGAGGUUGCAGUGAGCUGAGAUCGCACCACUGCACUCCAGCCUGGGUGACAGAGUGAAACUCCGUCUCAAAAAUAAAUAAAAAUAAAAGCAUAAGUUUUAUUUAAACUAGGUAAUACAUAUACCAACAUAUUUAGUACAAAAUUUAUUUAUUUAUUUUUAUUUUGAAAGUGGUGGCAAGAACCACAAUUACUUUUGCACCAACUUAAUGUAAGAAAUACAUAAUAAUUAUAGAAAAAAUAUAAAAUACACAGUAAACAAAAAGGAGAGGUUCAGAUUUUCCCAAUUCACAUGAUCCAGAAAAAAUUACUAUUAUCAAUUUGGUUUACAAACUUCUAAAGUUUUCCCAACCAAGUAGAUGCAUAGAAAUUUAUGCUUUUAAAAAGGUGUCUUACUUUACACAUUGCUAUGUAACCUGUUUAUUUUUACUUACCAGUACAUUUAAAGAUACUAUAAUGUUAAUAAAUAUGGAACUACAUGAUAGUUUUCAGUGAUUGCGUAGUAUUUCAUUGUAUGACUAUACAAUUAGUUUAUUUAACUGUUUUUGCAUUUUUGGACGUUUGAAUUAUUUUCGAUUUUCCCCCCGCUAUUGGUAAAGAUGUGACAAUAAAAUUUUUUUUUUUUUUUGAGAUGGAGUCUCGCUCUGUCACCCAGGCUGCAGUGCAGUGGCACGAUCUCAGCUCACUGCAACCUCCGCCUCCAGGGUUCAAGCAGUUCUCUGCCUCAGCCUCCCAGGUAGCUCAGAUUACAGGCACACUCCACCACGCCUGGCUAAUUUUUGUAUUUUUAGUAGAGACGGGGUUUCACUGUCUUGGCCAGGCUGGUCUUGAACUCCUGCCCUUGUGAUCCACCUGCCUUGGCCUCCCAAGGCACUGGGAUUACACGCGUGAGCCACCACAUCCAGCUGAAAAUUUUUUAGUAUUUGUCUAUAUGCAUUUGUUUUAUUUUUUUUAGGAGAAAUUACUAGAAGUGGUCCGGGGGCAGGGGCUCAUGCCUAUAAUCUUAGCACUUUGGAAGACUGAGGUGGGAGGAUCACUUGAGCCCAGGAAUUCAAGACCCACUUGGGAAAUAUAGGGAGACCCUGUCUUUACAAAAAACAAAAAACUAGCCAGGCACAGUGGCAUGCGCCUAUAGUCCCCUGCUACUUUGGAGGCUGAGGUGGCAGGAUCACUUGAGCCUGGGAGGUUGAGGCUGCAGUGAGUUGUGAUUGUGCCACUGCACUCCAGCCUGGGCAACAGAGUGAGACCCUGUCUUAAAAAAUAUAUAUAUUAGAAGUGGAUUUAGUAAGCCAAAGGAUUUAUACUUUUUAGAAUUUUUGAUAUUUUGCUGUUUUUUUCACAGAAAUAUUUUUCUUAUUUAUAUCCUCACUCUCACUCUAGCAUUGGAUAUUAUUAUUGUUAUUUGAGAUGAGGACUUGCUAUGUUGCCCAGGCUAGUCUUGAACUCCUGAGCUCGACCAAUCCUCCCGCCUCAGCCUCCUGAGUAGCUGGGAGGUAUCUUUUUUAAAAUUGUAUUUAUGUCAUUACAGGAGAGAGAAACAUUAUGCUAAUAUUCAUUGUCUAUUUGUAUUUCUUUUUUUAAAGAAUCCUUAGGCCAGGCGUGGUGGCUUAUGCAUGUAAUCCCAGCACUUUGGGAGGCCAAGGCAUGAGGAUGGCUUGAGGCCACGUGUUCCAGACCCAGCCUUGGCAACAUAGUGAGACCCUGUCUCUAAACAAAAGGGUCUCUAAACAUAGGGUGUCGUGAUACCCACUUGUAGUCCUAGCUAUUUGGGAGGCUGAGGCAGGAGGAUCCUUUGAACCCAGGAAUUUGAGACUGCAGUGAUUUAUGCUUGCAGCACCGCACUCUAUCCUGGGUGACAGAGCAAGACCCUGUAUAAAAAAAGAAAAAAAUAAUCCUUAACCUAUUUGUCAACUAAAAUAUUUAUCUUAUUGAUUUGUGAAAAAAAACACAUUAAUCUUUUGUCAUAAGUUUUGCAAUAUGUUUGCAAAACUUGCAAUAUGCUUUUUUUUUUAACAACUAGUAUCAUCCAAUGAUUUGGAAUGCUACAUUUAUCAUAGACAAAAUGCUUAUACAUGUGUGGGUUUGUUUCUGUUCCAUUGAUUUUUCUCUUUAUUCUAGAAGUAGUACAACUUUGAUUUAUUAUUGUAACUUUAAAAUACACUUUGAUAUCUGAUGUAGGGCACAUAUUUUUCCUAGAUAUAAAUUUUCUAAACAAUGUUAUUGAGGUAUAAUUUGUGGGCAGUAAACUAUACAUACUUAAAAUGUACAAUUUGAAGAGUUUUGAUGCAUGUAUACACACAUGAAACCACCACCACAAUCAGGAUACCUAACACACACACACACAAACACACACACGAUACCUAACAUUUCCAUCACUCUCCAAAAUUUCAUUGUGUCCUUUUACAAUUCAUCUUUUCUUCCAUUUCUGUCCCCAGAUAACCACUGAUUUGCUUUCUAUUCCCAUAGAUUAGUUUGAAUUUUCUAGAAUCUUAUAUAAAUAGAAGCAUACAGUAGGCACUCUUUCAUGUCUGGCUUCUUCCACUCAGCAUAAUGGUUUAGAGAUUCAUUCAUGUUUUUGUAUGUAUCAGCAAUUUGUUCCUUUUUUGCAGAGUAGUAGUUCAUUAUAUGACUAUACCACAUUUUAAAAAAUCCUUUCCCUGUUGAUGGACAUGUGGGUUAUUUCCCACUUUUCGCUAUUACAAAUAAAGUUGCCAUGAGAACAUUCAUGUUUGUCUUUGUAUGGAACACACAUUGUAUUUUCAUUCCUCCUGCAGAAAUAUCUAAGAACAGAAUGGCUGGGUCAUGGGUAGGCAUAUGUUUAAUUUUUAAAGAAACUGCCAAUCUGUUUCCCAAAGUGUCAUGUUUUACAUUUUCCAAAGUAGGGCAUAUAUUUAAAUUUACUGAAUUAUAUUCACAGAAGGACUGCCUCUAAUUGUCUGCCCCUAUGAUUUGGUCAGACCUUUUAGCAUUUUUCUUAUAAGUUUUAGUGAUAGAUUACCAUUAUAUUCUAAAAUGAGCACAUAUUUUUAACUAGUUGCAGGGUUUUUUUAAUUUGUUUGUUUCGUUUUGUUUUGUUUUUGAGACGGAGCUUUGCUCUUCUUGCCCAGGCUGGAGUGCAAUGGCGUGAUCUUGGCUCACCGCAACCUCCUGUCUCCCGGGUUCAAGCAAUUCUUCCGCCUUAGCCUCCGAGUGGCUGGGAUUACAGGCAUGUGCCACCACACCCGGCUAAUUUUGUAUUAUUUUUUUUUUAGUGGGGACGGAGUUUCUCCAUGUUGGUCAGGCUGGUCUCUAACUCCCAACCUCAGGUGAUCCACCCUCUGUUGCCCCCCAAAGUGCUGGGAUUACACGCAUGAGCCACCACACCUGGCCAACUAGUUGCAGUCUUAAAGACCUAGGUAUUGCCACAUCAUUAAGUAGGUAACAGACUUAAAUAAUUUCUCCUUGUGAAUCAAUGUUUUUUAUUUUGGUAAAAAAAAAACCCCACAUAACAUGGAAUCUACCUUCUUACAAAAUUAUUAAGUGUACAGUAUGGCAUUUUUAACUAUAUGCACAUUAUAGUACAGCAGAUCUCUAGAUUUUUUUCUGUGAAUCAGUUUAAAUAUGCAUUUUGAAAUAAACAGAAACAUAAUAUUAUAUACAAUUAUCUUGGAUUUGCUGGAUUUUAAUUGUGGCUCCUCUACUUAUGAGAUCUUAAACAAAUUACUUGAUCUCUCUGGGCCUCAGUCUCCUCAUCUGUAUAAUGAGGAUAAUAAUAAUACUUACUUUGUAGGAUUGUUGUUGCGAUGGAAGGAAGAAAAAGCUGGAGCGUUGUCUGGUAUGUAGUAAGCAUCAAUAAAAGUUACUAGUCAGGCUUGGUGGCAUGUGUCUGUAGUCUGAGCUACUCAAGAGGCUAAGGAAGGAGGAUAUCUUGAGCCAAGGAGUUCAAGGCUCCAGUGAGCUAUAAUUGCACCACUGCACUCCAGCCUGGGCGACAGAGUAAGAACCUGUCUCUAAAAAAUUUUAAAAGGCCAAGCACAGUGGCUGUCUUCUGUAAUUCCAGCACUUUGGGAGACUGAGGCGGGAGAAUCGCUUGAACUCAAGAGUUCAUCAGCCUUACAACAUAACAAGACUCCCAU